This 458-nucleotide long non-coding RNA is filed under the name Cavia porcellus (domestic guinea pig). Its description in RNAcentral is "lncRNA (ENSCPOG00000038213.1)". Lineage: Eukaryota; Metazoa; Chordata; Mammalia; Rodentia; Caviidae. The record is from RNAcentral.
GCCAGCGAGAGGCUGACCAAGCCCAUUUGCCUUCUGUGUCACGGGUGGGACUCAGAGAGAAGACGGUUUUGGGAAACAGAAGAAAAACACCCGGUAGAAUAGGUGAUUUCUGAGGAUGCUGUCUAAGGACCUCGCUGGGACCGAGCUCAGCUGGCUUCCUCCAGGACCCACAGUAGCUGCCUGGACCUCACCACCUCAGUCUCUGCUUCUGUGGAAACCACAGAUGCCCAGCAAGCACUGUUCUUUUCAGGGCUUUGACUUCUACUGGCUGUGACUGGGCACCUGGAUGGGAAACCUGAAGUCAAUGUCUCCUUUCUUUGUGUCAUGGCUACCAAGACUGGCAAGUGUCCGGGUGAAUCCUCUACUCUUGAUGUGAAGCCCAAGUACCGCCUCAGAGACUGGUGCACCCUGCCCUGGUCACCUAAAGCAGGAGCAUGUGGCCAUGGGGUACAGCCACG